GACGAACGCUGGCGGCGUGCUUAACACAUGCACGUCGAACGGAGUGGCGAACGGGUGAGUAACACGUGGGUGACCUGCCCUGCACUUCGGGAUAAGCCUGGGAAACUGGGUCUAAUACCGGAUAGUGUGGGAUGGGCGCGCGGCCUAUCAGCUUGUUGGUGGGGUAAUGGCCUACCAAGGCGGCGACGGGUAGCCGGCCUGAGAGGGUGGACGGCCACAUUGGGACUUAGACACGGCCCAGACUCCUACCGUAGGCAGCAGUCGGGAGUAUUGCACAAUGGGCGGAAGCCUGAGACAGCGACGCUGCGUGGGUGAUGACGGCCGUCUGGGUGUAAACUCCUUUCACCAUCGACGCGGUAGAUGGAGAAGAAGCACCGGCUAACUACGUGCCAGCAGCCGCGGUAAUUC
Molecule: ribosomal RNA, 408 nt
Filed under: uncultured bacterium
Lineage: Bacteria
Description: partial 16S ribosomal RNA
Rfam family: Bacterial small subunit ribosomal RNA
Source: RNAcentral